This 492-nucleotide long non-coding RNA is filed under the name Vitis vinifera (wine grape). Its description in RNAcentral is "long non-coding RNA (VVIN_LNC008028)". The record is from RNAcentral. Lineage: Eukaryota; Viridiplantae; Streptophyta; Magnoliopsida; Vitales; Vitaceae.
UUCUAUCAUUUCUCGGUACUCACAUUGAUUCGACCAUUUUUUUGUAAUAGCCGGGAAUGGUUUUCGAUACUCGCACGGAUUCUUCCUUUUCCCGGUACUCUUCCGGAUUCUACUAUUUUUUGGUGCUCACACUGAUUCGACCCUUUUCCGGUACUCGUCAGGACAAUUUUUCAAUACUCGCAUGGAUUCUACCUUUUCCCGGUACUCGCCGGAUUCUAUCAUUUUUCGGUACUCACAUUGAUUCGACCAUUUUUUUCUAAUCGCCGAGACAGUUUUUCGAUAGUCGCACGAAUUCUACCUUUUCCCGGUACUCUCCCGGAUUCUACAAUUUUUCGGUACUCACACUGAUUCGACCCUUCUCCGGUACUCGUCAGGACAAUUUUUCAAUACUCGCAUGGAUUCUACCUUUUCCCGGUACUCGCCCGGAUUCUAUCAUAUUUCGGUACUCACAUUGAUUCGACCAUUUUUUUGUAAUAGCCGGGACUGGUUUUC